GAUAAUGAGCCUACCCUGGACCAGGAGGACCCAGUCCUUGUUCAGUAUGUGGUUGAGGAGGUUGGGCACCGGCCCUGUCUGGCUUUAAUCCCUUGGUCUGGACCUCUGUGGGUUCCCAGCUCUCCAACAUAUUACCUUACCCAAGCUGGGAGGAUGCUGGUGAGAGAGCUGGCAGUGUUAAACACGCAGGUAACCAUGCAGAUUAUUGGACAAAGCUCAUCUGAUCUAAUAGGCAGGAUUACCUUCAGUAUCCACUAUGGUAGUGAAAUACUUUGAUGUUCGUUCCCUCAUUUUCUCACAGAUAUUCACAGUGGAGCAGCCCAUUUUCAUCAGUUUCACUCCUGCUAGGAGGAUGGUAUGGAAUGAACUGUCCUCUCAAAAUGAACAGGUAGCCAUUCAUAUGCAGGUACCUCAGAUGUUUCCUUAACCUUUCAACACAGACCUGUGUAGUGUCUCAGAAUCUAUCAUGCAGUGGCCUCCUCUUGCGAUCCUCCCUAUUCCAGUCUGUCAGUCCUAUAGGCUACCUGUCUAUCAUUCAAACUGACUCUUAAUUGAAUCCUGUCUUGUUCCUUAGUAUGUGGAUGAGGAGGUUGGGCACCGGUCCUGUCCGGCUUUAAUCCCUUGGUCUGGACCCUUGUGUGUUCCUAUCUUUGUGAGUCUAUCCAUUCUGAUACUCUCUGGUCUUUAGAGGAUAUUAAAGAUUAACAUCAAGUCACUAGUUUUCUAUAAAACCACAUAAUGAAAAAACAUAUUC
This is a long non-coding RNA of Coregonus clupeaformis (lake whitefish), 754 nucleotides long. RefSeq lists it as uncharacterized. The transcript has 3 exons. The record is from RefSeq and is a predicted model, not a curated record. NCBI's taxonomy places the organism in Eukaryota, Metazoa, Chordata, Actinopteri, Salmoniformes, Salmonidae.